GACAAACGCUGGCGGCAUGCCUAACACAUGCAAGUCGAACGGACAGAACAGGGAAGCUUUUCGUAGUGGAACUGGAAAGUUAGUGGCGGAUGGGUGAGUGACGCGUGGACAACCUACCUUGUAAACGGGAAUAACCUCCAGAAAUCGAAGCUAAUACCCUAUAAUAACCUUGCUUCGCAUGAAGUAAGGAGGAUGGGCGGCCUUAGCGCUGUUGUUACCUGAUGGGUCCGCGACUGAUUAGCUAGUUGGUGAGGUAAAGGCUCACCUAGGCGACGAUCAGGAGCCGGAGGGAGAGGGGGAACGGCGACAUUGGAACGGGGACAGGGACCAAAGUCCUAAGAGAGGCAGCAGUGGGGAAUGGUCCGCAAUAGGGGAAAGCAUGACGGAACAAGGCCACGUGAGUGGAAAAGGCGUUCGGGUUGUAGAAAUCGGUCCUGAGCGAAGAGAGGGUGUUGUAGGAAAUGAAAAUACUAGGACGGUAAAUGAGAAGGAAGCCCCGGCUAACUAUGUG
RNAcentral lists this ribosomal RNA (511 nucleotides) under uncultured bacterium. RNAcentral's name for it is "partial 16S ribosomal RNA". It matches the Rfam family "Bacterial small subunit ribosomal RNA", at positions 28 to 507 of the family's 1533-position model. The record is from RNAcentral.